UACGUAGGGGGCAAGCGUUGUCCGGAUUUAUUGGGCGUAAGGCGCUCGCAGGUGGUUCGUCGCGUCGUGCGUGAAAGACCCCGGCUCAACUGGGGAGGGUCGUGCGAUACGGGCGAACUGGAGGCCAGUAGGGGGAUGCGGAAUUCCGGGUGUAGUGGUGGAAUGCGUAGAGAUCCGGAGGAACACCAGCGGCGAAGGCGGCAUCCUGGACUGGUCCUGACACUCAGGAGCGAAAGCGUGGGGAGCGAUCCGG
Molecule: ribosomal RNA, 253 nt
Filed under: uncultured bacterium
Lineage: Bacteria
Description: partial 16S ribosomal RNA
Rfam family: Bacterial small subunit ribosomal RNA
Source: RNAcentral